GUGGGGAAUUUUGGACAAUGGGCGCAAGCCUGAUCCAGCAAUGCCGCGUGCAGGAAGAAGGCCUUCGGGUUGUAAACUGCUUUUGUACGGAACGAAACGGUCCUGUUAAUACCUGGGGCUAAUGACGGUACCGUAAGAAUAAGCACCGGCUAACUACGUGCCAGCAGCCGCGGUAAUACGUAGGGUGCGAGCGUUAAUCGGAAUUACUGGGCGUAAAGCGUGCGCAGGCGGUGCUGUAAGACAGGCGUGAAAUCCCCGGGCUCAACCUGGGAAUUGCGCUUGUGACUGCAGUGCUGGAGUACGGCAGAGGGGGAUGGAAUUCCGCGUGUAGCAGUGAAAUGCGUAGAUAUGCGGAGGAACACCGAUGGCGAAGGCAGUCCCCUGGGCCUGUACUGACGCUCAUGCACGAAAGCGUGGGGAGCAAACAGGAUUAGAAACCCGGGUAGUCC
RNAcentral lists this ribosomal RNA (449 nucleotides) under uncultured bacterium. RNAcentral's name for it is "partial 16S ribosomal RNA". It matches the Rfam family "Bacterial small subunit ribosomal RNA", at positions 354 to 796 of the family's 1533-position model. The record is from RNAcentral.